Molecule: ribosomal RNA, 468 nt
Filed under: uncultured bacterium
Lineage: Bacteria
Description: bacterial SSU rRNA
Rfam family: Bacterial small subunit ribosomal RNA
Source: RNAcentral
ACGAACGUUGGCGGCGUGGAUUAGGCAUGCAAGUCGAACGAAGCACGGGGGGUAACUCCCGUGACUGAGUGGCGAAAGGGGCAGUAAGGCGUGGGUAACCUACCCUGGGGACCGGGAUAGCCAUUCUAACGAGUGGGUAAUACCGGGCGACGUAGCGAGGUGGCAUCAUCUUGCUAUCAAAUGAAUUUCGCCCUGGGAGGGGCUCACGUGGUAUUAGCUUGUUGGUGGGGUAACGGCUCACCAAGGCUUAGAUGCCUAGCAGGUGUGAGAGCACGACCUGCGCCACUGGCACUGAGACACUGGCCAGACACCUACGGGUGGCUGCAGUCGAGGAUCUUCGGCAAUGGGCGCAAGCCUGACCGAGCGACGCCGCGUGCGCGAUGAAGGCCUUCGGGUUGUAAAGCGCUGUCGAGGGGGAGGAAGCCGCAAGGUUGACCUAUCCCUGGAGGAAGGACGGGCUAAGUUCGU